UACGAAGGUGGCAAGCGUUGUUCGGAUUUACUGGGCGUACAGGGAGCGUAGGCGGUUUGGUAAGCCCUCUGUGAAAUCUCCAGGCUUAACCUGGAACAGCCGGAGGGGACUGCUGAGCUAGAGGAUGGGAGAGGAGCGCGGAAUUCCCGGUGUAGCGGUGAAAUGCGUAGAGAUCGGGAGGAAGGCCGGUGGCGAAGGCGGCGCUCUGGAACAUUUCUGACGCUGAGGCUCGAAAGCGUGGGGAGCAAACAGG
Molecule: ribosomal RNA, 253 nt
Filed under: uncultured bacterium
Lineage: Bacteria
Also listed under: 1 other name
Description: partial 16S ribosomal RNA
Rfam family: Bacterial small subunit ribosomal RNA
Source: RNAcentral